GUGAGCCCUAAUCAACAACGGGAUAGUGAGUGUGAAGAUUUUGAAUAGGCUAAUUGAAUUUGCAGCAGUUUCAUUUCCCUUGUUUCACGUAUAUGAAAUCAACAGAGAUAGAUGAACAAGGAUGAGGAGCCUAACAAAACUAUUUCACCCUCUAUUUUGUCUGAUUCAAGUCCAUAAGACAGAUGUCUAUUCUUAAUACAUGGCGAUCAUCAAGAAAAAA
This 220-nucleotide unclassified non-coding RNA is filed under the name Hevea brasiliensis (rubber tree). The record is from RNAcentral. Lineage: Eukaryota; Viridiplantae; Streptophyta; Magnoliopsida; Malpighiales; Euphorbiaceae.